This is a long non-coding RNA of Gadus morhua (Atlantic cod), 2186 nucleotides long. Lineage: Eukaryota; Metazoa; Chordata; Actinopteri; Gadiformes; Gadidae. The record is from Ensembl.
AUUGACAGGCGGCCAACCCCAUCAGGAACCGAGGAAUCAAACUCACUUCCGUUUCAUUCAAACUCACGUCCGUUUCAUUCAAACUCACUUCCGUUUCAUUCAAACUCACUUCCGUUUCAUUCAAACUCACUUCCGUUUCAUUCAAACCCACUUCCGUUUCAUUCAAACUAUUAAACUCCUUUUACAUGUAAGUAUGAGAGUGUAUAGUCGUGUAUGUGAGAGAUACGGUGGCCGAGAGGGGUCACAACACAUGCAAACGCCGCAACGCCUGCAUAUACAGAAAACACCUGCAAAUUCAGAAAACACCUGCAAAUUCAGAAAACACUUUCAUCGAUUACACAACACGUGCGCUGCAAAUGCCAAAACACAUGCAAAUUCAGAAAAACACCUGCAAAUUCAGAAAAACACAUGCAAACUCAGAAAACCCCUGCAUCGACUUCAUAACACGAGCAAAUAGGGAAACGAACUGCAAGUUAUGACAACGGAAAUGUGUCCCGGGGGACCAUAAUCAGUGACGGACCCAUAUCCGGUUGGCGGUUCUUUUCAAUUACGAAGGUGUUAAGUCGUUUGAUUGUGCUACAAGAGAUUGACGUGUUCUGCCCGUUCUGUGCGGUGCAACUGGGGGACGCUCCCAAGUUUUGCCCGUCAUGUGGGCAGAAUGUGGGGUUCCUUACACAGCUCCCAUCAACUCCAUCCACCUCGUCAAGCGAAGGCUGUGGGCCUACAGAUUUCGAUUGGCAUCAUGUCAAGGACCAAGAAUGGUUUAAAACCUCAAAGAGGGAAAACCAUGCCGUUAAAUGUUGAACCCCAGUGGUCAACAACCCAAAUCUUGCCAGCUGCUUUAAAGAAGCAGCAAGAUUUUAAUCAAAACGCAAUGGUAGAUGGAGAAUAUGUGCUUCUCUAUCCUGAUGGAUCUCAGGUAGAAAAUAUACCUGGUACAGACAGACCUUUUGUUCUUGAACAUUAUAAAGAGGCAAUUGGGAAAUCUUACCAGAGGAUUACGCUGUACAUCUGCCUUCUUCAGGAUUUGAGUAAGUAUUGAAAUGAACUACGGUACAUGUAUGUAAAUAAAUAAAUAAAUAAUAAUAAUAGCUAGUUGGUGGUAAUUGAGUGAGUCCUUAAUGGGAUUCAAAGAGGUUGUGAAAUUGCCACAUAUUUUGGAUAUAUCUAGCCUAAUAAUGAUCUUUUCCAAGGUUAUGGAGAUGACUCAUCUUCAGAAUCCGAUGAUUGUGAAGCAUUUGGUCGGCUUCCAAUGAAAAUGUAAGUUUCUCCUGCUAUUUUGAGACAUGUGCUAGCGAUUUUUGAAUAUCCAUGUAUUUCACAGCAUUCAUUUUUGAAAUUGCUCUAAGGAAUAGAUCAAGCAUGUUGUCCUCUGUAUAACAUAUGGACAAUUACUUAUAUUCUGAUUUAAAUUAAGUGAUUCAAAUUAUUUGUGUGUUUUAGGUCCCCAAAACAAUCUCUGCCAACAACAUCCAGGGCAUCUGGUGGGCAAGUAUGUAUUGUUAUCAAAUGUUAUUAAGUUCCAUGUUACUGAUGUGGUGAUGUAAUUAUUGUUAAUUUGUUUGGUGUUAUCUCUAUCUCUUUCAUCAACAGGCCAAUGGAGCAGGAGCAGGACCCAAAAAGACCACAUCACCAAACACAUCAUGUGAAUUCUACAAGUAAGUCAUAAUGGAUUAAAUUAGUUCUCUUCAGUGCAGUAAUAUCUUUUUUGGCUUUUGGUUUUGCAUGAAAUAUUUGACUGCGGAAAGUAAUUGAUUACAGUACCAAAAAUAACACAUUUUCCAGUAAUUUCACAGCAAUUUCAUUGUUCCUUUUAUCCACAGUACAUAUACAAAUGUAUAUGCACCAGUUGUCAUUGACAGCAGUUCCUCAGAUGUUGAGGAAGUCGACUACUCUCAGGUGGAAGACAGGUACUUUGAUACAAAUAAUGCUGUUAGCCUUGUUAUUUUUUUCUUUCCCUCAGAUGAAAUAUUAAUCGGCCCAAUUACAUUGGGCAUUUUACCUGGUUUCUGUUGCCAUAUUAAAGUAAAUAUUUGAAUUUCAUAUGUUUUUAAUUAAAUGACGCCUUAACAGAAAAACAAUCAGGCAAAAAUUAUUGAAAGCUUGCAACGUGUGCUUCAUGCUUAUGCCCAUCACAUUUCCUCACACUCAUAUGGUGUACUUACUGUAAUGGGUCCAUAAAAUAC